AGUUUCAGAAACUCUGACCUAAAGACACCAUAUCCCCUCUGAUCUUGGAAGCCAAAUAGGGUCAGCCCUGGUUAGUAUUUGGAUGGGAGGCUGCCAACAAAUACCAGGUGCUGUUAGUA
This 119-nucleotide ribosomal RNA is filed under the name Anolis carolinensis (green anole). Lineage: Eukaryota; Metazoa; Chordata; Lepidosauria; Squamata; Anolidae. The record is from RNAcentral.